RNAcentral lists this ribosomal RNA (386 nucleotides) under uncultured bacterium. RNAcentral describes it as "bacterial SSU rRNA". It matches the Rfam family "Bacterial small subunit ribosomal RNA", at positions 29 to 416 of the family's 1533-position model. The record is from RNAcentral.
AUUGAACGCUGGCGGCAUGCCUUACACAUGCAAGUCGAACGGUAACGCGGGGGCAACCCUGGCGACGAGUGGCGAACGGGUGAGUAAUACAUCGGAACGUACCCAGUAGUGGGGGAUAGCUCGGCGAAAGCCGGAUUAAUACCGCAUACGACCCAUGGGUGAAAGCGGGGGAUCGCAAGACCUCGCGCUAUUGGAGCGGCCGAUGUCGGAUUAGCUAGUUGGUGAGGUAAAGGCNCACCAAGGCUACGAUCCGUAGCUGGUCUGAGAGGACGACCAGCCACACUGGGACUGAGACACGGCCCAGACUCCUACGGGAGGCAGCAGUGGGGAAUUUUGGACAAUGGGCGCAAGCCUGAUCCAGCCAUGCCGCGUGUGUGAAGAAGGCC